Molecule: ribosomal RNA, 492 nt
Filed under: uncultured bacterium
Lineage: Bacteria
Description: partial 16S ribosomal RNA
Rfam family: Bacterial small subunit ribosomal RNA
Source: RNAcentral
AGUGAACGCUGGCGGUAGGCCUAACACAUGCAAGUCGAACGGCAGCACAGUAAGAGCUUGCUCUUACGGGUGGCGAGUGGCGGACGGGUGAGGAAUACAUCGGAAUCUACUUUUUCGUGGGGGAUAACGUAGGGAAACUUACGCUAAUACCGCAUACGACCUACGGGGGUAAGCAGGGGAUCUUCGGACCUUGCGCGAUUGAAUGAGCCGAUGUCGGAUUAGCUAGUUGGCGGGGUAAAGGCCCACCAAGGCGACGAUCCGUAGCUGGUCUGAGAGGAUGAUCAGCCACACUGGAACUGAGACACGGUCCACACUCCUACGGGAGGCAGCAGUGGGGAAUAUUGGACGAUGGGCGCAAGCCUGGUCCAGCCAUACCGCGUGGGUGAAGAAGGCCUUCGGGUUGUAAAGCCCUUUUGUUGGGAAAGAAAAGCAGCAGGUUAAGACCCCGCUGUUCUGACGGUACCCAAUGAAUAAGCACCGGCUAACUUCGUG